This 534-nucleotide ribosomal RNA is filed under the name Leptodora kindtii. Its description in RNAcentral is "SSU rRNA". It matches the Rfam family "Eukaryotic small subunit ribosomal RNA", at positions 1255 to 1550 of the family's 1831-position model. The record is from RNAcentral. Lineage: Eukaryota; Metazoa; Arthropoda; Branchiopoda; Diplostraca; Leptodoridae.
CUCUUUCUUGAUUCGGUGGGUGGUGGUGCAUGGCCGUUCUUAGUUGGUGGAGCGAUUUGUCUGGUUAAUUCCGAUAACGAACGAGACUCUAGCCUGCUAAAUAGGUGGCGGGUUUAUUCUAAAAAAUUGGGUUGGGUGUUCGUCGGGAUACGAGUUCGUAUCGACGAGUGUUGGUUUGUUUGCAAUGUUUGGCAACGGGAAGAUGGGAAGGUUGCUGCGGUCGGUCGUCGUCGGGAGCUUGCUGUCGGUGGCAACACCGGUGGUUAAGUUUUUUCGGUUGCUGCUGCUCGUAGUUUCUUUCCUUUUUUCUUUUAGCUUUCGUUGUGUGCAGCCCGCGCUCUAGGUUCGGAUUCCUCGGCGGUUCGCACCCUUCUCGCGUCCGUCACAACUCUUCUUAGAGGGACAAGCGGCGUCCAGCCGCGUGACAGUGAGCAAUAACAGGUCUGUGAUGCCCUUAGAUGUCCUGGGCCGCACGCGCGCUACACUGAAGGAAUCAGCGUGUUUUUCUCCCCCUGUCCGAAAGGACCGGGUAAC